CGCUCAACUCUGCUCACAUCCUCUGAAUGGGACACGUUUGAAUACAGACAAAAGCCUCUCAUUUUAAUAUGUGUCCGCAGUGGUUCUGUGUAGCCUAGUUAUGCUAUUAUAUUUGAGACCAGUGUAUUGCAGUGAAUUUCAUCUGACUUAAUAAGUAAAAUAUCUUUGCGUAGUAAACAGAGUAACAAUGAGUCCCAGGCAGUUCGCAAUACCAGAGGGGGGCAUCGUUUACUAGGCUACCUAAAUUAUUGGGAUCAUCUGGGUUACCACCAGUGUUUGGAAUACAUUGAGCUCGUCAACAAAACAGACCAUGGGACGCCUACCGAGAAGAUCCUGAAAAAAAAUAUCAACUGGCCCAAAUCAGCUCUACAUAAUUCAGCAGGGAGGUGUGCAACUACCACACAUUAUACAGUGGAGAAACUACAUCACCUACGAAGUGGCCUUCAAAAUUCAACAUUAGCCAUGGUGACAAUCCAGGAUGACUUCUGCCGUGCUCAAAACAACUGGAAACUCGGAACUGGGAAAUCAGACUUCAGUGAGUUCAAGACAUCUGGGACCUCUGAAAAAAAGAGCUCCGACUGGGAAAAUACGUUUUGAACGGUCAUCUGACUCGGAAUUGCAAGUCGGGAACUCUUGCCUCUUUCUAGAGCUCUGACCUGAAGAUCACUUAUGUCAUCAUGAUUCAACAUAGUUUUUUUCCGAGUUCCUAGUUGUCUUGAAAGCGCCAUAAAUCCAGAGAAUGCCAGACUUUGAUGACCAGUAGUUCAUUGUUCAGGGAAAAGUUAUAGGGAAAAUGGUGACCUAGAACUUUUAAGUGUGUGCCCUCAGGCCACUACUCUACUAUCACAUAUCUACAACACAUAAUCCAUGUGUAUUUUUGUGUCUG
Molecule: long non-coding RNA, 886 nt
Filed under: Salmo salar (Atlantic salmon)
Lineage: Eukaryota; Metazoa; Chordata; Actinopteri; Salmoniformes; Salmonidae
Description: lncRNA (ENSSSAG00000088355.1, ENSSSAG00020046949.1)
Source: RNAcentral